GAUAGAGGUAGUAACUGGCCUUUACUUGACGGUACCUCACCAGAAAGCCACGGCUAACUACGUGCCAGCAGCCGCGGUAAUACGUAGGUGGCAAGCGUUGUCCGGAAUUAUUGGGCGUAAAGCGCGCGCAGGCGGUCCCUUAAGUCUGAUGUAGAAAGCCCACGGCUCAACCGUGGAGGGUCAUUAGGAAACGUGGGGGACUUGAGUGCAGAAGAGGAAAGUGGAAUUCCACGUGUAGC
Molecule: ribosomal RNA, 239 nt
Filed under: uncultured Planomicrobium sp.
Lineage: Bacteria; Bacillati; Bacillota; Bacilli; Caryophanales; Caryophanaceae
Description: partial 16S ribosomal RNA
Rfam family: Bacterial small subunit ribosomal RNA
Source: RNAcentral